Molecule: ribosomal RNA, 700 nt
Filed under: Uroteuthis duvaucelii
Lineage: Eukaryota; Metazoa; Mollusca; Cephalopoda; Myopsida; Loliginidae
Description: SSU rRNA
Rfam family: Eukaryotic small subunit ribosomal RNA
Source: RNAcentral
UCCGAUAACGAACGAGACUCCGGCCUGCUAACUAGUGCGCCGAUGUGUGUGCGUUCUUCGCUACGGCGGGCUCGGGCCGCGCGUGUUCGUCGCGCGUCGCCUCGGUCGCGCGUCGGCGUUCGUUUUGCACUCGCUCGUCGGUCGGCUCCGCGGGGGUUCGCGCUCCCUCGGCGGUCGUCCCGGCGUCGGGGGGGCGGCGGGCGCGGGCGCCGUCGACGGCGCGCGGUCGUGCGCGCGGUUUCCGCCGGGUCCGGGUCGGUUUUCUCACGCACUUCUUAGAGGGACGGGUGGCAGAAAGCCACACGAGGCGGAGCGAUAACAGGUCUGUGAUGCCCUUAGAUGUCCGGGGCCGCACGCGCGCUACACUGGAGGUAUCAGCGGGGACUUCGCCCCGGCCCGAGAGGGCCGGGAAACCUCUCAACCACCUCCCGUGAUAGGGAUCGGGGCCUGUAACCAACCCCGUGAACGAGGAAUUCCCGGUAGGCGCGGGUCAACAGCCCGCGUCGAUCACGUCCCUGCCCUUUGUACACACCGCCCGUCGCUACUACCGAUCGAACGGUCCGGUGAGGUCCUCGGAUCUGGCCGACGACGCCGCCGGGCUGCCCGGCGGUUCGCCGCCCGCGUCGCCUCGGCGUUCGACGCCUGGAGAAGACGACCGAACCCGAUCGUUUAGAGGAAGUAAAAGUCGUAACAAGGUUUC